RNAcentral lists this ribosomal RNA (311 nucleotides) under uncultured bacterium. Its description in RNAcentral is "bacterial SSU rRNA". It matches the Rfam family "Bacterial small subunit ribosomal RNA", at positions 28 to 334 of the family's 1533-position model. The record is from RNAcentral.
GAUGAACGCUAGCUACAGGCUUAACACAUGCAAGUCGAGGGGCAGCACAAGGCAGCAAUGCUGAGGUGGCGACCGGCGCACGGGUGCGUAACGCGUAUCCAACCUUCCCGUUACUCUUGGAUAGCCUUCCGAAAGGGAGAUUAAUACAUGAUGGUGUUGAAAUUCCGCAUGUUAUUUCAACUAAAGAUUUAUCGGUAACGGAUGGGGAUGCGUGACAUUAGAUAGAUGGCGGGGUAACGGCCCACCAUGUCCACGAUGUCUAGGGGUUCUGAGAGGAAGGUCCCCCACACUGGAACUGAGACACGGUCCAG